RNAcentral lists this ribosomal RNA (440 nucleotides) under uncultured bacterium. Its description in RNAcentral is "partial 16S ribosomal RNA". It matches the Rfam family "Bacterial small subunit ribosomal RNA", at positions 338 to 795 of the family's 1533-position model. The record is from RNAcentral.
CCUACGGGAGGCAGCAGUGGGGAAUAUUGCACAAUGGGGGAAACCCUGAUGCAGCGACGCCGCGUGAGGGAAGAAGUAAUUCGGUAUGUAAAGCUCUAUCAGCAGGGAAGAAAAUGACGGUACCUGAGUAAGAAGCCCCGGCUAACUACGUGCCAGCAGCCGCGGUAAUACGUAGGGGGCAAGCGUUAUCCGGAUUUACUGGGUGUAAAGGGAGCGUAGACGGUUGUGCAAGUCUGGAGUGAAAGGCGGGGGCUCAACCCCCGGACUGCUUUGGAAACUGUACGGCUGGAUUGCAGGAGAGGUAAGUGGAAUUCCUAGUGUAGCGGUGAAAUGCGUAGAUAUUAGGAGGAACACCAGUGGCGAAGGCGGCUUACUGGACUGUAACUGACGCUGAGGCUCGAAAGCGUGGGGAGCAAACAGGAUUAGAUACCCGUGUAGUC